Molecule: ribosomal RNA, 597 nt
Filed under: Trichosporon insectorum
Lineage: Eukaryota; Fungi; Basidiomycota; Tremellomycetes; Trichosporonales; Trichosporonaceae
Description: partial large subunit ribosomal RNA
Rfam family: Eukaryotic large subunit ribosomal RNA
Source: RNAcentral
AAACUAACAAGGAUUCCCCUAGUAACGGCGAGUGAAGCGGGAAGAGCUCAAAUUUGAAAUCUGGCAGUCUUCGAUUGUCCGAGUUGUAAUCUAUAGAGGCGUUUUCCGUGCCGGACCGUGUCCAAGUCUCCUGGAAAGGAGUAUCAAAGAGGGUGAUAAUCCCGUACUCAACACGACCACCGGUGCUCUGUGAUACGUCUUCUACGAGUCGAGUUGUUUGGGAAUGCAGCUCAAAAUGGGUGGUGAAUUCCAUCUAAAGCUAAAUAUUGGCGAGAGACCGAUAGCGAACAAGUACCGUGAGGGAAAGAUGAAAAGCACUUUGGAAAGAGAGUUAAACAGUACGUGAAAUUGUUGAAAGGGAAACGAUUGAAGUCAGUCGUGUUCUUUGGAUUCAGCCAGUUCUGCUGGUCUACUUCCUUUGAACGGGUCAACAUCAGUUUUGUCCGGUGGAUAAAGGUAGUAGGAAUGUGACUUCUCCGGAAGUGUUAUAGCCUAUUAUCACAUACACUGGGUGAGACUGAGGACUGCAGCUCGCCUUUAUGGCCGACCUUCGGGUACGUUCGAGCUUAGGAUGUUGACAUAAUGGCUUUAAACGAC